CCUAAUUUCUCAUCUCCAGGUGUUCCAUGAUGCUUAUUUUACAAUUAAGAAAAUAGAGGACAGAAAGUGGCUUCAGGAAGGUCAGGUGACUUGAUAGCAGCGACAAGGGCCAAACUCAGACAGCUUAUUACUGGAGCUCCUUUACCCACAGGACUCCCAUACCUUCUGGAGCAGAAUGUCACUAGGUUACUGGAAGCUCAGUCUGCCCCAACAUUUCCCUAUUUACUGGAGACCUCAAAAACUUGUCAUUGACCUUCCCAUGACCUGGAUAAAAAUCUCUCAACCUGUCCCUGCCUGUCAUGUGGUAUGCAGCAUGAUGGUCCCAGCCAGUGGGGAGCUGUAAGACAGAUGUUCAAGAUGAGCCUCUGGGGCUGAUCAUGUCUCUGGUUAUAGAGAAGGAGAGAUUCUAUAUGUUGCCUGGCAGCCACUGAUUGGUCAGAGACAAAGAGGAAUGCUUACGAUGGAGAUGCCCUGGCAGUUGUGAUUUUGCUGAAGUCCAUUAUUAACAUGAAGUCCAUUUCUUUAUCAUUUUCCAGUGAGUUACUUUAUUACAGACAAUAUGCUAAGCUAAUAGAAAAACAAAGAAGAGAUUAAAAUUUCAUUCUGAAGUUGAAUCAAUGGCAACUAUGCAUGAUAUACAUCAAUAUAAAAUUCUGACCAUGAGGGGCUGGGGUUGUGGCUCAGCAGUAGCAAGUGCGAGGCCCUGGGUUCGAUCCUCAGCACCACAUAAAAAUAAAUAAAUAAAACAAAGGUAUUG
This 757-nucleotide long non-coding RNA is filed under the name Urocitellus parryii (Arctic ground squirrel). Its description in RNAcentral is "lncRNA (ENSUPAG00010009064.1)". The record is from RNAcentral. Lineage: Eukaryota; Metazoa; Chordata; Mammalia; Rodentia; Sciuridae.